UACGUAGGGGGCAAGCGUUAUCCGGAUUUACUGGGUGUAAAGGGGGCGCAGACGGCGAUUCAAGCCAGGAGUGAAAGCCCGGGGCCCAACCCCGGGACUGCUCUUGGAACUGCGUGGCUGGAGUGCAGGAGGGGCAGGCGGAAUUCCUGGUGUAGCGGUGAAAUGCGUAGAUAUCAGGAGGAACACCGGUGGCGAAGGCGGCCUGCUGGACUGCAACUGACGUUGAGGCCCGAAAGCGUGGGGAGCAAACAGG
RNAcentral lists this ribosomal RNA (253 nucleotides) under uncultured bacterium. RNAcentral describes it as "partial 16S ribosomal RNA". It matches the Rfam family "Bacterial small subunit ribosomal RNA", at positions 524 to 776 of the family's 1533-position model. The record is from RNAcentral.